RNAcentral lists this long non-coding RNA (1729 nucleotides) under Lactuca sativa (garden lettuce). RNAcentral describes it as "long non-coding RNA (LSAT_LNC001076)". Lineage: Eukaryota; Viridiplantae; Streptophyta; Magnoliopsida; Asterales; Asteraceae. The record is from RNAcentral.
GAAGAGGCCAAACAUAAAAUCAAAGAAAAGGAGUAUGAGGCUGACUAUAAGAAGGAAGAGCACAAGGAAAAAUUCAAAGAAGAACUAGCCGAGGCUAAGUACAAAGUAGAAAAAAUCAAGGAAAAGAUCGAGUGUGAAGUAGAAGAGGCAAAACAUAAAAUCAAAGAAAAGGAGUAUGAGGCCGACUAUAAGAAGGAAGAGCAGAAGGAAAAAUUCAAAGAAGAACUAGCCGAGGCUAAGUACAAAGUAGAAGAAAUCAAGGAAAAGAUCGAGUGUGAAGUAGAAGAGGCCAAAGAGAAAAUCAAAGAAAAGGAAUAUGAGGCUGAGUACAAGAAGGAAGAGCACAAGGAAAAACUCAAGAAAGAAGUAGAGGAGGCCAAGUACAAAAUAGAAGAAUUCAAGGAUAAUAUUGACUAUAAAGUAGAGGAGAUUAAGGAGAAAAUUGAGGAAAAAAUUGAAGAAAUCAAGGAAAAGGUCGAGUAUGAAGUAGAAGAGGCCAAAGAGAAACAUAAGGAAAAGGAAUAUGAAUCUAAGCAUAAGAAGGAAGAACGCAAGGAAAAACUUAAGGAAGAAGUAGAGGAGGCAAAGUACAAAAUAGAAGAAUUAAAGGAAAAGAUCGAGCAUAAAAUAGAAGAAGUUAAGGAGAAAAUUGAUGAGAAAGUCGAAGAAAUUGAGCACAAGGUUGAAUGUGAAGUAGAAGAAGCCAAAGAAAAACAUAAGGAAAAAAAGUAUGAAUCCGAGUACAAAAAGGAAGAACGGAAGGAAAAACUCAAAGAAGAAGUAGAGGAGGCAAAGUACAAAAUAGAAGAAUUGAAAGAAAAAGUUGAGUGUGAAGUAGAGGAGGUUAAGAAUAAAAUCGAGGAGAAAGUGAAAGAAAUUGAGGAAAAGGUUGAGUGUGAAAUAGAAGAGGCCAAAGAGAAACACAAGGAAAAAGAGUACGAGUCUGAGUACAAGAAGGAAGAGCGCAAGGAAAAACUCAAGGAGGAGAUCGAGGAGGCCAAGUACAAAAUAGAAGAAAUCAAGGAAAAGAUUGAGUGUGAAGUAGAAGAGGCCAAAGAGAAAAUCAAGGAAAAAGAAUAUGAGGUUGAGUAUAAAAAGGAAGAGCAUAAGGAAAAAAUCAAGGAAGAAGUAAAGGAGGCCAAAUACAAAAUAGAAGAAUUAAAGGAGAAUGUUGAGUGUAAAGUCGAAGAGAUUGAAGAGAAAAUUGAGGAAAAAAUCGAAGAAAUCAAGGAAAAAGUUGAGUGUGAAGUAGAAGAGGCUAAAGAGAAAAUUAAGGAAAAAGAAUAUGAGGCCGAGUAUAAGAAAGAAGAGCAUAAGGAAAAACUAAAGGAAGAAGUAGAUGACGCCAAAUACAAAAUAGACGAAUUGAAGGAGAAUGCCGAGUGCAAAGUGGAAGAGAUUAAAGAGAAAACUGAGGAGAAAAUUGAAGAAAUCAAGGAAAAAGUCGAAGAGAAAAUUGAGGAGCACAGAGAGAAGAAAGAAGAAAAGAAAGAAAAGAAAGAACUUGAGAAAAUCAAGAAGCAUAAGGAAGAAACUUAUGCCCCUAUAAAGACCUAUGAGGAAGUUGCCAUAUUUCAAGAGCCAGAUUCAUGUGAACAAAAAGAGAAAAAAGUAUUUGUCGUUGAAAAAGUUGAAGAGGAUUGUGUUGCUUCGCUACCACCUCCAGUAGUGGCGCAUAACGAGUACAUCCCUGUUGAAGUUGAACACAAAGAGAAGAAGGGUAUCUUUG